AUGGCAGUAGUUAUUCGUUUUGUUGAUAAACCUGGUUUCACUCGUGAGCGUUUUCUUGAUAUUGUUCAUGUUGCUGAUACAUCUUCGGCUACUCUAAAAGAAGAGAUAUCUUCUAUUUUGGUUCAACAUCAGUUAGAUGUGAACAAUAUUCGCGGCCAAGGAUACGAUGGUGCUAGUAACAUGCGUGGAGAGUGGAAUGGACUACAAGCAAAGUUCAUGGAGGAGUGUCCUUAUGCAUAUUAUAUCCAUUGGUUUGCUCAUCAGUUGCAGCUAGCUCUUGUUGCUGCAUCAAAAGAAGUAGCCGAUGUUCACAACUUUUUUGAUCAUCUUGCUCUUGUUAUCAAUACGGUUGUGUCUCCUAGUAAGAGACAUGAUGAGUUGCAAGCAAAUCAAGUUGCUGAAAUGGAGCAUUUGAUUGAGCUUGGUGAGCUUGAAACUGGAAGUGGGGCUAAUCAAGUCGGAACUUUACAACGGCCUUGUGAUACUAGGUGGAGUUCACACUAUGCUUCUGUUUGCAGCCUUGUGAAAUUGUACAAACCAACAUUUUUGGUACUUAAAAGCAUUGCAACUUCUAAAGGAUCUGGUACUUCACCUUCCACAUGA
RNAcentral lists this ribosomal RNA (603 nucleotides) under Triticum aestivum (bread wheat). RNAcentral describes it as "partial small subunit ribosomal RNA". Lineage: Eukaryota; Viridiplantae; Streptophyta; Magnoliopsida; Poales; Poaceae. The record is from RNAcentral.